RNAcentral lists this ribosomal RNA (450 nucleotides) under uncultured bacterium. RNAcentral describes it as "partial 16S ribosomal RNA". It matches the Rfam family "Bacterial small subunit ribosomal RNA", at positions 354 to 796 of the family's 1533-position model. The record is from RNAcentral.
GUGGGGAAUUUUGGACAAUGGGCGCAAGCCUGAUCCAGCAAUGCCGCGUGCAGGAAGAAGGCCUUCGGGUUGUAAACUGCUUUUGUACGGAACGAAACGGUCCUGGUUAAUACCUGGGGCUAAUGACGGUACCGUAAGAAUAAGCACCGGCUAACUACGUGCCAGCAGCCGCGGUAAUACGUAGGGUGCGAGCGUUAAUCGGAAUUACUGGGCGUAAAGCGUGCGCAGGCGGUGCUGUAAGACAGGCGUGAAAUCCCCGGGCUCAACCUGGGAAUUGCGCUUGUGACUGCAAGGCUAGAGUGCGUCAGAGGGAGGUGGAAUUCCGCGUGUAGCAGUGAAAUGCGUAGAGAUGCGGAGGAACACCGAUGGCGAAGGCAGCCUCCUGGGAUGACACUGACGCUCAUGCACGAAAGCGUGGGGAGCAAACAGGAUUAGAAACCCUGGUAGUCC